RNAcentral lists this ribosomal RNA (422 nucleotides) under uncultured bacterium. RNAcentral's name for it is "bacterial SSU rRNA". It matches the Rfam family "Bacterial small subunit ribosomal RNA", at positions 355 to 774 of the family's 1533-position model. The record is from RNAcentral.
UGAGGAAUAUUGGACAAUGGGCGCAAGCCUGAUCCAGCCAUGCCGCGUGCAGGAAGAAGCAUCUAUGGUGUGUAAACUGCUUUUGUACGGGAAGAAACACUCCUUCGUGAAGUACCUUGACGGUACGGAAUGAAUAAGGACCGGCUACCUCCUUGCCAGCAGCCGCGGUAAUACGGAGGAUCCAAGCGUUUUCCGGAAUCAUUGGGUUUAAAGGGUCCGUAGGCGGUUUAAUAAGUCAGUGGUGAAAGCCCAGCGCUCAACGAUGGAACGGCCAUUGAUACUGUUAGACUUGAAUUACAAGGAAGUAACUAGAAUAUGUAGUGUAGCGGUGAAAUGCUUAGAUAUUACAUGGAAUACCAAGUGCGAAGGCAGGGUACUACUUGUGGAUUGACGCUGAUGGACGAAAGCGUGGGGAGCGAACA